AUUGAACGCUGGCGGCAUGCUUUACACAUGCAAGUCGAACGGCAGCACGGGCUUCGGCCUGGUGGCGAGUGGCGAACGGGUGAGUAAUAUAUCGGAACGUACCCAGCAGUGGGGGAUAACGUAGCGAAAGUAACGCUAAUACCGCAUACGAUAUAUGGAUGAAAGCCGGGGACCGCAAGGCCAUGUGCUCCUGGCUGGGACGAUAUCGGAUUAGCUAGUUGGUGAGGUAAAGGCUCACCAAGGCGACGAUCAGUAGCUGGUCUGAGAGGCCGACCAGCCACACUGGAACUGAGACACGGUCCAGACUCCUACGGGAGGCAGCAGUGGGGAAUUUUGGACAAUGGGCGCAAGCCUGAUCCAGCAAUGCCGCGUGAGUGAAGAAGGCCUUCGGGUUGUAAAGCUCUUUUGUCAGGGAAGAAACGGUAGAGGCUAAUAUCCUGUGCUAAUGACGGUACCUGAAGAAUAAGCACCGGCUAACUACGUG
RNAcentral lists this ribosomal RNA (484 nucleotides) under uncultured bacterium. Its description in RNAcentral is "partial 16S ribosomal RNA". It matches the Rfam family "Bacterial small subunit ribosomal RNA", at positions 30 to 507 of the family's 1533-position model. The record is from RNAcentral.